Capra hircus (goat) is the source of this 108-nucleotide small nuclear RNA. Lineage: Eukaryota; Metazoa; Chordata; Mammalia; Artiodactyla; Bovidae. The record is from Ensembl.
GUGCUCACUUGAGCAGCACAUAAACUAAAACUGGAACAAUACCGAAGCUAGCAUGGCCCCUGCACAAGGAUGACUGACAUGCAAAUUCAUGAAGCAUUCCAUAUUUUU